AGAGUUUGAUCAUGGCUCAGAGCGAACGCUGGCGGCGUGCUUAACACAUGCAAGUCGAACGAGUGUAGCAAUACAUUCGUGGCGAACGGGUGCGUAACACGUGGAUAACCUUCCUUGAGGUGGGGAAUAACCCCGCGAAAGCGGGGCUAAUACCGCAUAACAAAGCGAUGGCACAUGCUUUUGCUUUCAAAGGAGCAAUUCGCCACAAGAGGGAUCCGCGGCCGAUUAGCUAGUUGGCGAGGUAACGGCUCACCAAGGCAAUGAUCGGUAGCCGGUCUGAGAGGAUGAUCGGCCACACUGGAACUGAGACACGGUCCAGACUCCUACGGGAGGCAGCAGUGGGGAAUCUUGCACAAUGGGCGAAAGCCUGAUGCAGCAACGCCGCGUGGGGGAUGAAGCUUCUCGGAGCGUAAACCCCUUUCGACCCGGACGAAUGCCCGCAAGGGUUUGACGGUACGGGUAUAAGAAGCCCCGGCUAACUACGUGCCAGCAGCCGCGGUAAGACGUAGGGGGGCCAGCGUUGCUCGGAAUUACUGGGCGUAAAGGGUCCGUAGGCGGUGCGGUAAGUCGGGAGUGAAAUCUCUGGGCUUAACUCAGAGGCUGCUUCCGAAACUACCGUGCUAGAGUGCGAGAGAGGCAAGUGGAAUUGCGGGUGUAGCGGUGAAAUGCAGAUAUCCGCAGGAACAUCCGAGGCGAAAGCGGCUUGCUGGAUCGCAACUGACGCUGAGGGACGAAAGCUAGGGGAGCAAACAGGAUUAGAUACCCCUGUAGUCC
RNAcentral lists this ribosomal RNA (774 nucleotides) under uncultured bacterium. Its description in RNAcentral is "bacterial SSU rRNA". It matches the Rfam family "Bacterial small subunit ribosomal RNA", at positions 8 to 796 of the family's 1533-position model. The record is from RNAcentral.